Molecule: ribosomal RNA, 800 nt
Filed under: uncultured bacterium
Lineage: Bacteria
Description: bacterial SSU rRNA
Rfam family: Bacterial small subunit ribosomal RNA
Source: RNAcentral
AGAGUUUGAUCAUGGCUCAGGAUGAACGCUGGCGGCGUGCCUAACACAUGCAAGUCGAACGGAGUUAUGAUGAAACCUAGUGAUUCAUAACUUAGUGGCGGACGGGUGAGUAACGUGUGGGUAACCUGCCGUAUACAGGGGGAUAACACUUAGAAAUAGGUGCUAAAACCGCAUAAGCGCACAGGAUCGCAUGAUCCGGUGUGAAAAACUCCGGUGGUAUACGAUGGACCCGCAUCUGAUUAGCUAGUUGGUGAGGUAACGGCCCACCAAGGCGACGAUCAGUAGCCGGCCUGAGAGGGUGAACGGCCACAUUGGGACUGAGACACGGCCCAAACUCCUACGGGAGGCAGCAGUGGGGAAUAUUGCACAAUGGGGGAAACCCUGAUGCAGCAACGCCGCGUGAGUGAAGAAGUAUUUCGGUAUGUAAAGCUCUAUCAGCAGGGAAGAAAAUGACGGUACCUGACUAAGAAGCCCCGGCUAACUACGUGCCUGCAGCCGCGGCAAUACGUAGGGGGCAAGCGUUAUCCGGAUUUACUGGGUGUAAAGGGAGCGUAGACGGUUAAGCAAGUCUGAAGUGAAAUGCCGGGGCUCAACCCCGGAACUGCUUUGGAAACUGUUAAACUGGAGUGCAGGAGAGGUAAGUGGAAUUCCUAGUGUAGCGGUGAAAUGCGUAGAUAUUAGGAGGAACACCAGUGGCGAAGGCGGCUUACUGGACUGUAACUGACGUUGAGGCUCGAAAGCGUGGGGAGCAAACAGGAUUAGAUACCCUAGUAGUCCACGCCGUAAACGAUGAUUACUAG